AUUGAACGCUGGCGGCAGGCCUAACACAUGCAAGUCGAGCGGAUGAAGGGAGCUUGCUCCUGGAUUCAGCGGCGGACGGGUGAGUAAUGCCUAGGAAUCUGCCUGGUAGUGGGGGAUAACGUCCGGAAACGGGCGCUAAUACCGCAUACGUCCUGAGGGAGAAAGUGGGGGAUCUUCGGACCUCACGCUAUCAGAUGAGCCUAGGUCGGAUUAGCUAGUUGGUGGGGUAAAGGCCUACCAAGGCGACGAUCCGUAACUGGUCUGAGAGGAUGAUCAGUCAAACUGGAACUGGAACACCGUCCAGACUCCUACGGGAGGCAGCAGUGGGGAAUAUUGGACAAUGGGCGGAAGCCUGAUCCAGCCAUGACGCGUGUGUGAAAAAGGUCUUCGGAUUGUAAAGCACUUUAAGUUGGGAGGAAGGGCAGUAAGUUAAUACCUUGCUGUUUUGACGUUACCAACAGAAUAAGCACCGGCUAACUUCGUG
Molecule: ribosomal RNA, 484 nt
Filed under: uncultured bacterium
Lineage: Bacteria
Description: partial 16S ribosomal RNA
Rfam family: Bacterial small subunit ribosomal RNA
Source: RNAcentral